RNAcentral lists this transfer RNA (71 nucleotides) under Hypsugo cadornae (Cadorna's pipistrelle). Its description in RNAcentral is "tRNA-Val". It matches the Rfam family "tRNA". From Rfam's summary of the family: Transfer RNA (tRNA) molecules are approximately 80 nucleotides in length. Their secondary structure includes four short double-helical elements and three loops (D, anti-codon, and T loops). Lineage: Eukaryota; Metazoa; Chordata; Mammalia; Chiroptera; Vespertilionidae. The record is from RNAcentral.
ACAAAAUGUAGCUUAAACCAAAGCACCUAAUUUACACUUAGAAGAUUUCAAUUCAAAAAUGAACAUUUUGA